Scylla paramamosain (green mud crab) is the source of this 1074-nucleotide RNA transcript. RefSeq lists it as uncharacterized. Lineage: Eukaryota; Metazoa; Arthropoda; Malacostraca; Decapoda; Portunidae. The transcript is spliced from 2 exons. The record is from RefSeq and is a predicted model, not a curated record.
AACAACUGUUGGCGAGCUCCAAGGUGUUGGUGCAUUAUGACAGCAGCAAGCCCCUCCUGCUCACCUGUGACGCGUCACCAUACGGAUUGGGAGCAGUCCUUGCACACCGUUUGGAGUCUGGAGAGGAGAAACCGAUUGCUUUCGCAUUCGAUCCCUGAGCAUAGCUGAACGCAAGUAUGCUCAGGUAGAGAAAGAAGGUUUGGCAAUAAUAUUUGGUGUUAAGAAAUUUCAUAAUUACUUGUAUGGCCGCCAUUUUGAGAUCAUUUCAGACCAUCAGCCACUUAAAAGUCUGUUUAAUGAAACUCGCCCAGUGCCUGUGAUGGCAUCAAGUCGUAUCCAACGCUGGGCGCUAACACUAUCGGCGUAUGAAUACACUAUCACCCACAAACCAGGGAAAAAUAUAGUACAUGCUGAUGGGUUGAGUCGCCUUCCUCUCCCUGAAUUCCCCAAGGUGACUCCAGUCCCCGGUGAUGUGGUAUGCGUGUUGGAGAGACUAGACCAGACACCCGUCACGUCGAGAGAGUUAAGGCAAUGGACGGAUAAGGACUCAACACUCUCGAAGGUAAGAGAUCACAUUCUGUACGGUUGGCCUGGACAUAUAGCAGAGGAAACACUUCAGCCUUUUUUUAGAAGGAGGCACGAAUUAAGUGUCCAAGAUGGAAUAAUUUUGUGGGGAUCAAGAGUGGUGGUGCCUCAGAUAGCUAGAAAAAAUGUGUUGGCUGAGCUACAUGCAACGCAUCCAGGAGUCUCGCGCAUGAAAGGUAUUGCGCGUAGUCAUGUGUGGUGGCCCAAUAUAGAUAAAGAUGUUGAGUCAACAGUACAACUAUGUUCACAGUGCCAACAAGUGAGAAAUCUUCCCCCAGACGCUCCUUUGCAGCCAUGGGAGUGGCCACUAAAACCCUGGUCCAGGUUACAUUUGGAUUACGCUGGGCCGUUUAUGGGUGCAGUUGCUAGAUGGGAGGACUGUACGACGUCAUCUCGACUAUGUGAGGAGAAGAGUAAGCAUAGAGGGCGAGACGGUUAACGCAGAUGAUGCCAUACCACCUCCCAUGGACCUCACAAAUGGAGCAGGAA